Brassica napus (rape) is the source of this 718-nucleotide long non-coding RNA. RefSeq lists it as uncharacterized. The transcript has 3 exons. NCBI's taxonomy places the organism in Eukaryota, Viridiplantae, Streptophyta, Magnoliopsida, Brassicales, Brassicaceae. The record is from RefSeq and is a predicted model, not a curated record.
UGUUUUUAAUUCUUUAUAAAUGUCACUCAAAGCUCACUGAGAAACUGAAUAUUUUUGCGACAGUCUGUGAGCGAGAGCCAUAUACCAGAUAGUCUCUUGGAGAGACUUAUCAGUGGUACUAUCGAAUUCCCACCAGCUUGUGCCAUUGUAGGUGGAAUAUUAGCACAGGAAGUGAUCAAAGCUGUAUCAGGGAAAGGAGACCCGGUAAAGAACUUCUUCUACUAUGAUGCUCAAGAUGGAAAAGGUGUGAUGGAAGACAUCUCCAACUCUUUUACCUCUUAACCACUGAGUCCUGAAUUUUCAUCUGACUCUGUGUUUCUAUAAACCGAAUUCUGUGUUCAUUCUACUCUUAAUUCAUAUUGAAGUAAGAAAAAAAGAGAGGAUUCACACGAGCCAUUGAAGCAGCAGAUGAGUGAGCUUGAAAGAGAAUGGGACAGCCAAAAGCUCAUGUUCAUUAAAACCCUUGACAACAACUUAGCAACUUCUCUGUGCAAGAUUCUCUCAACUUCUCAAGAAGGCUCAAGUCUGAGGCCGAGGGAAAGCCUGUUGAAAUCAAAGAAGCCAAUUGUCGUGAAGUAUUGUCUUAACCAUGUUACAUACCUCAUUGAGCAACUAAUAGUUUAAUAAUUAUAUUAGGUAACAAAAACUAUAAAGUGUAAUUGAAUCAUGCAGUCUAACAUUGUAUGAAGCAUAAAUAUAAAGUUUUAUUUUUCGAAAA